This 253-nucleotide ribosomal RNA is filed under the name uncultured bacterium. Its description in RNAcentral is "partial 16S ribosomal RNA". It matches the Rfam family "Bacterial small subunit ribosomal RNA", at positions 524 to 775 of the family's 1533-position model. The record is from RNAcentral.
UACGGAGGAUGCAAGCGUUAUCCGGAAUGAUUGGGCGUAAAGCGUCCGUAGGUGGCUAUGCGUGUCUGCUGUCAAAGAGCGGGGCUCAACUCCGUAAAGGCAGUGGAAACUGCAUUGGCUAGAGUGUGGUAGGGGUAGAGGGAAUUCCCGGUGUAGCGGUGAAAUGCGUAGAGCUCGGGAAGAACACCGGUGGCGAAAGCGCUCUGCUGGACCAUAACUGACACUGAGGGACGAAAGCUAGGGGAGCGAAUGG